UGUCAAGAGUCCUGGCGUCGUUUCGGCGAGCAGAUUUCUUUUGCCUGAGAGAGGGUGAAAGGAAAUG
Molecule: non-coding RNA, 67 nt
Organism: Chelativorans sp. BNC1
Lineage: Bacteria; Pseudomonadati; Pseudomonadota; Alphaproteobacteria; Hyphomicrobiales; Phyllobacteriaceae
Source: Rfam